UACGAAGGGUGCAAACGUUGCUCGGAAUUAUUGGGCGUAAAGCGCACGUAGGCGGCUUUUCAAGUCCCAUGUGAAAUCCCACGGCUUAACCGUGGAAGUGCAUGGGAAACUGGGAAGCUUGAGUACUUAAGAGGAUCGCGGAAUUCCCGGUGUAGAGGUGAAAUUCGUAGAUAUGCGGAGGAACACCGAUGGCGAAGGCAAUCCCCUGGGCCUGUACUGACGCUCAUGCACGAAAGCGUGGGGAGCAAACAGG
This 253-nucleotide ribosomal RNA is filed under the name uncultured bacterium. Its description in RNAcentral is "partial 16S ribosomal RNA". It matches the Rfam family "Bacterial small subunit ribosomal RNA", at positions 524 to 776 of the family's 1533-position model. The record is from RNAcentral.